RNAcentral lists this transfer RNA (83 nucleotides) under Pirellulaceae bacterium. Its description in RNAcentral is "tRNA-Tyr". It matches the Rfam family "tRNA". From Rfam's summary of the family: Transfer RNA (tRNA) molecules are approximately 80 nucleotides in length. Their secondary structure includes four short double-helical elements and three loops (D, anti-codon, and T loops). Lineage: Bacteria; Pseudomonadati; Planctomycetota; Planctomycetia; Pirellulales; Pirellulaceae. The record is from RNAcentral.
GAGUCGAUCGGACAAUUGGUCGUCCAGGCUGUCUGUAAAACAGUCGCCUGCGGGCGUUGGGGGUUCGAUUCCCUCUCGGCUCA